UACGUGUUUGCAGGAGAGUUCAGCCCUGCUGACGCCGACGGAGCAACCACCCCGGAAACUCUCAGGCAAAAGGACUGCAAAUAACGC
Advenella kashmirensis WT001 is the source of this 87-nucleotide non-coding RNA. The record is from Rfam. NCBI's taxonomy places the organism in Bacteria, Pseudomonadati, Pseudomonadota, Betaproteobacteria, Burkholderiales, Alcaligenaceae.